RNAcentral lists this transfer RNA (75 nucleotides) under Mesorhizobium sp. B1-1-5. RNAcentral describes it as "tRNA-Lys". It matches the Rfam family "tRNA". From Rfam's summary of the family: Transfer RNA (tRNA) molecules are approximately 80 nucleotides in length. Their secondary structure includes four short double-helical elements and three loops (D, anti-codon, and T loops). Further hydrogen bonds mediate the characteristic L-shaped molecular structure. tRNAs have two regions of fundamental functional importance: the anti-codon, which is responsible for specific mRNA codon recognition, and the 3' end, to which the tRNAs corresponding amino acid is attached (by aminoacyl-tRNA synthetases). tRNAs cope with the degeneracy of the genetic code in two manners: having more than one tRNA (with a specific anti-codon) for a particular amino acid; and 'wobble' base-pairing, i.e. permitting non-standard base-pairing at the 3rd anti-codon position. Lineage: Bacteria; Pseudomonadati; Pseudomonadota; Alphaproteobacteria; Hyphomicrobiales; Phyllobacteriaceae. The record is from RNAcentral.
UCCCGCUUCGUCUGAUGGUAGGACAGCGCCCUUUUGAAGGCGUGAAUCGUGGUUCGAGUCUAUGAGCGGGAACCA